AAAAAAAUUUAUUUUGCGCCAUUUCAACUUCUUCACAUGUUUUUAAAUAAGCAUGUUAUGAAAUUGUGAAAAUUACAAGUAUGCAAUUAUCUCAAACUUGUUAUUCUAAGUUUUAUACACUUGAUAAAAAGAAUUUGCACAAUAAUUGCAGAUUGGUAGAAGAAUUUAAGAAAUUGAAUACAUUGGGUGAAGGGACCUAUGGUGUUGUUUUCAAAGCGCUAGAUCUGAAAAAUAAUAAAUUAGUUGCAUUAAAAAAUAUGAGAAAAUACAAUAAUUCUCGUAAUAGCUCACAUGAAAUACCAUUGAAUUCUCUAAGAGAAAUAUCCAUUCUUCUCUCCUUAAGUAAGGAGAAUUCACAUCCAAAUAUUGUUCAUUUGUCAGACAUCGCUCUAGGAAAAAACCUUGAUAACAUCUAUCUUGUUAUGGAAUAUUGUGAACAGGAUUUAGCAAAUUUAUUAGACCACAUGCAAAAGCCAUUUACUGAAGCUCAAGUUAAAUGUAUAAUUCUCCAAGUUUUUAGUGGAUUACAAUUUUUGCAUUCAAAAUUUAUCUUGCAUCGGGAUAUUAAAGUAUCAAAUUUAUUGAUUAACGAUUUUGGAUGUGUCAAGAUAGCUGAUUUUGGCUUAGCUCGUAAAUUUGGACUUCCAUGUUUAAAACCAUUGACUCCAAAUGUUGUCACUCUUUGGUAUAGAGCUCCUGAAUUAUUAUUUGGUGCAGAAGUUCAAGCAACUGCUAUUGAUAUUUGGGCUGCAGGAUGUAUAUUUGGUGAGUUGUUAUUACAUAAACCUAUGAUGCCUGGAAAAUCUGAAAUUCAACAAAUAAACAUGAUAAUCGAUUUAUUGGGUACACCCAAUGAAAAAAUCUGGACUGGGUUUAACAAAUUGCCUCUAGUUAAAGAUUUCAAAUUAAAAUCUCAGAACUAUAAUAAUAUUAAAUAUCUUUUUGAUUGGAUAUCAGACAAUGGAAUAAGUUUACUUAAUGGUCUUUUUAUGUAUGAUCCUUGUAGAAGGGAAAUUUAUGUUCACGCCAUGGCCCAUCGUGUCACGCAUAAUUUCAUGGCCCGUGCCCACCACUAAUUGAAUUUACUUACACUGUAUCCGAAGAAAAAACGGUUUUAAUAACUUUUAAUUUGUCAUCAAGAUGAAAACAUAAAAUGUAAACCCACAGCGUAUAUGGCAAGGGUGAUGAUUGAUAAUCUGAAUUAGCCUUAUGGUAAAGAUUGGUAUGACUAGGUCUUCUAUAGAUAAAUAACUGCAAAAGACGCUCUUAACAAUCCUUAUUUUUAUGAGACACCUUAUCCUUGUAAACCGGAAUUUAUGCCUACUUUUCCUCAUUUACGUGAUAAAUAAUAUUCCUAGCAUAACUUUAAUUAUCAAUAGUUAGUUAAUAAUUUCACCCAGAUUCAGUUCUAUGAAAAAUUAUAAUUUUUUUUAUUCUUAUCAAUAACUUGUUACUUCUAUUACAAUUUUUUAAUUAAAUUGUAAUCUAUAUAUAUUUAUUAUUACUUCUCUGUUAAAUUUAGUUAUUUCUUUUAUAUUUUAAAAAACAUUCCCAUGUAUAAAUAAUAAAUCCAUCGGCAUAAUUAUCGGGUAUAUUUUAAGCAGGAAAGAGUACCCGAAUCCUGGAAAUUUUUCUAGAACCCUUUUUUGAAUUUUAGGAUUCAGGAAUUGUUUUUUUUAUAUUUUCAAUAGUAAUAACAUUUUUUUUAUGUAAAUCAUUUUAUAUUAUAUGUAAAAAAAAUUUACCUCUACAUUUUGUAAAAUUUUUUAGAAAUAUCUAUUGUUGUUUAGAUUUUUUUAAAUAAUUUUUUUAUUUUACAAAAAAAAAUAAUUAAUUAAAUUUAAGUAGGGCUGCACCAAUAUUCCGAUCCAAAGCAUGGACUGAUUUUAUUUGCUGCUAUCAAACCCUCCUUAAGAUAUUUUUGUUUGAUAACUAAAAAAAAGUAUAACUACAAUAAUAAAAAAUCUCACUUUUAUUACUAGUUAAUUUCUUAAACUUUUCUAAUACCAUAAUAAAAAUAAUUAAUAAAACGUCUUCUCAAUCUUAUUAGUACUAAUUUCUUAAAUCUAAUAAAAAUAAUUUCUGUAUACAAACAAAAUUCUUUAUUUCAAUAAAAAUAAUUUCCAGUUCUUUACUAAAACUAUUUUAAAAAAAUGUAAAGUCAUAAAUCAAUAAAAAAUAAUAAUUAUCACAAAAUUUUAUAUUCGAAUCAUUAUUUUUAUAAUUCUUUUUUAACCAAUCAACAAUAAAUGUACUAAUUAUAAAUUAUACAAUCAUUAAUAAUAAAUUAUA
Molecule: RNA transcript, 2292 nt
Organism: Gordionus sp. m RMFG-2023
Lineage: Eukaryota; Metazoa; Nematomorpha; Gordioida; Chordodea; Parachordodidae
Gene name: cyclin-dependent kinase 10-like
Exons: 8
Source: RefSeq, a predicted model, not a curated record